This 2028-nucleotide long non-coding RNA is filed under the name Mus musculus (house mouse). RNAcentral describes it as "long non-coding RNA chrX:159365811-159367839". Lineage: Eukaryota; Metazoa; Chordata; Mammalia; Rodentia; Muridae. The record is from RNAcentral.
AAGUUAUGAUAUUAAAUUAAGGUAAGUUGGGUUUUGUUGGGGCUUUGUUGUUUUUUAUGAAUCAUUUCAGCUCCUUCUGUUUAAAAGGGUAUCUUCUAAGUGCAUUACUCCCUUAAAUUUAACAGCUGUGAAGUAAAUCUUUUUUCACAAACCACCCUAAAAGUCUAAAAAUAAAUGUAGCAAGACCCAAAGUCAACAUGCUGUGAGGCUGGCAUAUGGAAGAGUCAGUUCGAGUGUCUGGAGGGAGGAUGGUGGGUAUUUACAGUAGUUUCCACGUUUCACGUGCAUUGCACUCCAAAGAAUAGGGUGGGGGUCAACGAUUUUCCAACUGUUCUUUAGAUGUGGCUUUUGUUGGGAUCGGAAAACAUCAAGAGAAGUGGGGGUUGUCCUCUAAGCUAUGCACAUACUCGCAGCCUAGAAAGGAUUUGAACAGAGAGUAGGUGCAGAAGCGUCUAAAGAAGGCAUGUAUUUGAUAGGGAAAGGACCAGAGUAGGCUAAUCCUGGGGUGAUAGUUGCAAAAGGCUUUCUAGACUUUGGGGCCUUGGUAUAAGAUGUCCUUAAUUAUUGUGGGGGCCAGUAACACACAAUUCAACAUGACUUUGAUAGUCUCCAUUCCCUGGCUUUAUGAAUUACCUACACUUUCAGGUUGUUUUGCUGUAUUUUAUAAAAAUAGGUUCUAUCUUACUAUGGUGUUGAAAAUUUGAGACUUGGGAAAGCAGACAGAGAGCUCUGGAAUGCAAAGGAUCAAAAACAGCCAGCUCUCUUCUGUGACUCACAAAAAACAAUGGAUUUCAUGGCUGAUCUUGGUGCUUAAACCAGGAAGGUCCAGUCUAACUCUAUCUGUUCCUCUGCAAGACCCAACUCCUGUGACUAACCUGGAUGUAUACUUUGAGCCUUAUUUAAUUCACAGAGAAGUUGACUUAAAUCAGUGUUUUUAUUUCAAUUAAUGAAAACAGUCCUCUUUCAACCCCAGGUUACUUAACAUUUUGCUGAUCUCCCCCAAGAGAUCAUUGGUGGAGACCAAUUAAUGAAGGAGUGAAUUCAGUUUCUUGAGACUGUGGUAUUCUACAGAGCCACACCUAACCACUUUUUCCAGUGAAGAAUCUACACAAUAAUACCCAAAUAUGGAUGGCCAAGAAGAAUCUGUAUCUACAGUGUGCUUUGUGUGUUUUUGACACUGCUGUAUUUUGUGUUGCCAAGUGACUUGUAACUGGUUCCAACGUGACAGUUCUUUAAAAGUUCUAGUAAUUAAGUCAACUUAAAUUUUUGUAAAACCUGGUGUCACUAUAGGUCUCACAAGUACCACUUUUAUUCCAGUCUUUAACUGUUCAUAAUGGGCAUAGCAAGGGUUGGAGUGAGAGCCUACUUCCUACCUCUUAAGGCACUUUCCUCAUUGUUUUGCCAUAUAACCUUGGACUGCAUGAUAAGCUGAUGAAAUAUCCAUGACUUUUCCCAGAGCAACUAGCAAGGUAUAUGACAUUUUGGCUAGAGAUUAGUGGGAAGGAAAAUUUAGAGGUUUAAGUCCGGAUGUAUGAACCUCAAAAAAAAGUCUUCUAAACACAUAUCAUUUAAGUACAAUAUAUGGAAAUGUAUCUGAGCAGAGAGUCACUAUAACAGUUCUCUCUAAGUAGAUUAGUUCAAUGUCCAAUGAAAGUGAACAUCUUUAUUCCUAUAUUACUAUAGUACUGGAUGAACUGUAUACUGAGUUUUUCAAACAAGUAUUUAAAGUAGAACUUUUAAGUACGAGCAAGGGCAUGAGGAUAAAGACUUUGGGUUGUGUUUCUGUAAGUGUAGUUUACCAUAUAGAGCUUUGUUUCUUAAUUUUAAAAAAGGUUUCAAAGUAUUGCCAUUCAUUAGCAUCCUUAAUGAUUAUGAGCGAUGAGUGUGUAACUCGAAAUCAUAUACAUGUAUUAGUUUAUCUUAACUUUUUACCCUAAAUAAAAGGGAAGGUGUACACCUAAAAGAUGUAAUUAUUUUGCAUUUUUGGCCAUGGGUGGGAAUGGGGUGGGCAUCUACUUGAGCAGUUUU